RNAcentral lists this ribosomal RNA (359 nucleotides) under uncultured bacterium. RNAcentral describes it as "partial 16S ribosomal RNA". It matches the Rfam family "Bacterial small subunit ribosomal RNA", at positions 338 to 694 of the family's 1533-position model. The record is from RNAcentral.
CCUACGGGUGGCAGCAGUGAGGAAUAUUGGUCAAUGGACGAGAGUCUGAACCAGCCAAGUAGCGUGAAGGAUGACUGCCCUAUGGGUUGUAAACUUCUUUUAUAGGGGAAUAAAACGUUCCACGUGUGGGAUUUUGUAUGUACCAUAUGAAUAAGGAUCGGCUAACUCCGUGCCAGCAGCCGCGGUAAUACGGAGGGUACGGGCGUUAUGCGGAUUUAAUGGGGUUAGAGGGAGCGUAGGUGGAUUGUUAAGUCAGUUGUGAAGGUUUGCGGCUCAACCGUAAAAUUGCAGUUGAAACUGGCAGUCUGGAGUACAGUAGAGGUGGGCGGAAUUCGUGGUGUAGCGGUGAAAUGCUUAGA